Molecule: long non-coding RNA, 254 nt
Organism: Telopea speciosissima
Lineage: Eukaryota; Viridiplantae; Streptophyta; Magnoliopsida; Proteales; Proteaceae
Exons: 2
Source: RefSeq, a predicted model, not a curated record
AAUGGUGGGUCUGGGUUAUUUCUUUAUUUUGAUUUACAGAUUGUUCUUGAUUGCGGGAAGAGGAAGUUCAGAAGCUUAUUUUGGAGCGUUCGAGCAGAGAUUCGAAGGCAAGUCAAGGGAAGAUCGCAGCAGAGGCUCAGUUUCCACUAUGACCCUUUCAGCUAUGCACUCAACUUCGAUGAUGGUGAUUCGGGUUUUUUCUGUUAAAAUCUAAAGCAACAACAACAUGGGCAUUUAGGUUCCUUAUCCUCGUU